Molecule: ribosomal RNA, 253 nt
Filed under: uncultured bacterium
Lineage: Bacteria
Description: partial 16S ribosomal RNA
Rfam family: Bacterial small subunit ribosomal RNA
Source: RNAcentral
UACGUAGGGUGCAAGCGUUGUCCGGAAUUAUUGGGCGUAAAGAGUUCGUAGGCGGUUUGUCGAGUCCGUUGUGAAAGCUUGGGGCUCAACCCCAAGUCUGCAGUGGAAACGGGCAGACUAGAGUCAGGUAGGGGAGAACGGAAUUCCUGGUGUAGCGGUGAAAUGCGCAGAUAUCAGGAGGAACACCGGUGGCGAAGGCGGUUCUCUGGGCCUUACCUGACGCUGAGAUGCGAAAGCGUGGGGAGCAAACAGG